Molecule: ribosomal RNA, 497 nt
Filed under: uncultured bacterium
Lineage: Bacteria
Description: partial 16S ribosomal RNA
Rfam family: Bacterial small subunit ribosomal RNA
Source: RNAcentral
GAUGAACGCUGGCGGCGUGCCUAAUACAUGCAAGUCGAGCGAACAGACGAGGAGCUUGCUCCUCUGACGUUAGCGGCGGACGGGUGAGUAACACGUGGAUAACCUACCUAUAAGACUGGGAUAAUUUCGGGAAACCGGAGCUAAUACCGGAUAAUAUAUUGAACCGCAUGGUUCAAUAGUGAAAGACGGUUUUGCUGUCACUUAUAGAUGGAUCCGCGCCGCAUUAGCUAGUUGGUAAGGUAACGGCUUACCAAGGCAACGAUGCGUAGCCGACCUGAGAGGGUGAUCGGCCACACUGGAACUGAGACACGGUCCAGACUCCUACGGGAGGCAGCAGUAGGGAAUCUUCCGCAAUGGGCGAGAGCUUGACGGAGCAACGCCGCGUGAGUGAUGAAGGUCUUCGGAUCGUAAAGCUCUGUUAUUAGGGAAGAACAAAUGUGUAAGUAGCUAUGCAGGUCUUGACGGUACCUGAUCAGAAAGCCACGGCUAACUACGUG